Molecule: long non-coding RNA, 936 nt
Organism: Pecten maximus
Lineage: Eukaryota; Metazoa; Mollusca; Bivalvia; Pectinida; Pectinidae
Exons: 2
Source: RefSeq, a predicted model, not a curated record
CCUUCUUAAUAUUGCCUCAUGAAUAUUCAUGUUUAAACCAGAACGAGGCUAAGUGAGGAAGCGUCCCUAGUAAUAUACAUGUGCAGCUAUGGCUACAUCAUACAAUGAUAGAGAUUCAGAUUUAAUUACUUCACUUACCUUUUCAUUUGUUUAAAACUAUAUCCAAGCACAAAAACAAAACAAAAAAACCCAAAAAAAUCCUCUGGACAGAAGAGCAUGAAUAAAGGACUGAAGUGUUUAAGCAAGGAAAUAUCCAAGAGCUAAGAGGUGAGUUUCGGUGAUAUCAACACUCUUGAAGUGAGUAAGGCAGAUUGUACCUGUCCUAUUGGAAUGUCAGAAGCAUGUAGUGGGAACUCUGUACCAGCUUGCGAAAUUCAAGAUUAUACGUCAAAGAGCUAUCCCAGUUGAAAUUGCAAAGACAUCUCGGCCACAAACUUGGCAUGUCCCAAGAGGGGAGAAAAUCCAAGGAAAGGCUGUCCAGGAUUUAAAGAUAAGCGGUAUUCAUCACGGAAAUCCGCACUGGACUUGUCUACGACUAACCAAAAUCUGAAAACAACCCCAUUCAACCCCAUUCGUGGAGAAAAUGUUAAAUGGGACACAAAGUAUGGAAGUCUAUCUUCAGUACCACUUGAUUUAUUGAUUCUCCCUUCUUUAACACAAAUGAACUCACCAGCGGUAGAAUCAAAAUUUGGUAAAAUACCACAAGGCUCUCUUUAGGGUGUUCAGCAAAAAUUAGAAAAUGAGUAUGUUUUAAAUAUAUUUGAUGAAAAUCGAACACUCAGAUUUUGUUCUAAUGAUCCUGCACAAAGGCGACAUAAAAAUAAGAAAAGCUCGUCAAUGAGCAACACAGAACGCUUUCUACCACUUAGACUAAUAGUUUCACUACUUUUAUAAUAUGCACUUUGUAUGUUUUUAGCAGUAUACAUAAAAAGGUAA